Molecule: ribosomal RNA, 2136 nt
Filed under: Clostridioides difficile
Lineage: Bacteria; Bacillati; Bacillota; Clostridia; Peptostreptococcales; Peptostreptococcaceae
Description: bacterial LSU rRNA
Rfam family: Bacterial large subunit ribosomal RNA
Source: RNAcentral
GUGGAGGUCCGAACCCACGAGCGUUGAAAAGCUCGGGGAUGACUUGUGGGUAGCGGUGAAAUUCCAAUCGAGCCCGGAGAUAGCUGGUUCUCCCCGAAAUAGCUUUAGGGCUAGCCUCAAGGUGAGAGAUACGGAGGUAGAGCACUGAAUGUCCUAGGGGGUAUUGCACCUACCGAAGACUAUCAAACUCCGAAUGCCGUCAUCUUAUACUUGGGAGUCAGACUGUGGGUGAUAAGAUUCAUAGUCGAAAGGGCAACAGCCCAGAUCGUCAGCUAAGGUCCCUAAAUGUAAGUUAAGUGGUAAAGGAUGUGGGAUUGCACAGACAACCAGGAUGUUGGCUUAGAAGCAGCCACUCAUUCAAAGAGUGCGUAAUAGCUCACUGGUCGAGUGAUCCUGCGCCGAAGAUUUCCGGGGCUAAAACUUACUACCGAAGCUACGGCAUCAGUAAUGAUGGGUAGGGGAGCUUCCCAUACGGGUUGAAGCAUGACCGUAAGGACAUGUGGACAGUAUGGGAGUGAGAAUGUUGGCAUGAGUAGCGAGAUGUGGGUGAGAAUCCCACAGGCCGUAAACCCAAGGUUUCCAGGGGAAGGUUCGUCCGCCCUGGGUUAGUCGGGACCUAAGCUGAGGCCGAAAGGCGUAGGUGAUGGACAACAGGUUGAUAUUCCUGUACUACCGAUAACCGUUUGAGAGAAGGGAUGACACAGUAGGAUAAGCUAAGCACACUGUUGGUUAUGUGUGCCCAAGCAUUGAGGCAGUCAAAGUAGGCAAAUCCGCUUUGAUAAUGCUGGGAUGUGAUGGGGAGCGAAAUUUAGUAGCGAAGUAGCUGAUUUCACACUGUCAAGAAAAGUCUCUAUCGAGGUUAAAGGUACCCGUACCGCAAACCGACACAGGUGGGUGAGGAGAGUAUCCUAAGGCCAGCGAGAGAACUGUUGUUAAGGAACUCGGCAAAAUGACCCCGUAACUUAGGGAUAAGGGGUGCCACCAUCAGGUGGCCGCAGAGAAUAGGCCCAAGCGACUGUUUACCAAAAACAUAGGUUUCUGCUAAGUCGCAAGACGAUGUAUAGGAGCUGACGCCUGCCCGGUGCUGGAAGGUUAAGGGGAUCUGUUAGAGCAAUCGAAGCAGUGAACUUAAGCCCCAGUAAACGGCGGCCGUAACUAUAACGGUCCUAAGGUAGCGAAAUUCCUUGUCGGGUAAGUUCCGACCCGCACGAAAGGCGUAACGAUUUGGGCACUGUCUCAACAACAGACUCGGUGAAAUUGUAAUUCCGGUGAAGAUGCCGGAUACCUGCGACAGGACGGAAAGACCCCAUGGAGCUUUACUGUAGCUUGACAUUGGGUCUUGGUACUACAUGUACAGGAUAGGUGGGAGGCUUUGAAACCAGGACGCCAGUUUUGGCGGAGCCAUCCUUGGGAUACCACCCUUGUAGUACUGGGACUCUAACCAUAGGCCAUGAAUCUGGUCUUGGGACACUGUCAGGUGGGCAGUUUGACUGGGGCGGUCGCCUCCCAAAAGGUAACGGAGGCGCUCAAAGGUUCUCUCAGUACGGUCGGAAAUCGUACGUAGAGUGUAAAGGCAAAAGAGAGCUUGAUUGCAAGACAUACAGGUCGAGCAAGGAUGAAAAUCGGACUUAGUGAUCCGGUGGUUCUGCGUGGAAGGGCCAUCGCUCAACGGAUAAAAGCUACCCUGGGGAUAACAGGCUUAUCUCCCCCAAGAGUCCACAUCGACGGGGAGGUUUGGCACCUCGAUGUCGGCUCAUCACAUCCUGGGGCUGUAGUAGGUCCCAAGGGUUGGGCUGUUCGCCCAUUAAAGUGGUACGCGAGCUGGGUUCAGAACGUCGUGAGACAGUUCGGUCCCUAUCCGUCGCAGGCGUAGGAAAUUUGAGAAGACCUGUCCUUAGUACGAGAGGACCGGGAUGGACGUACCUCUGGUGUACCAGUUGUCCUGCCAAGGGCAUGGCUGGGUAGCUAUGUACGGAAUGGAUAAGCGCUGAAAGCAUCUAAGCGCGAAGCCAACUUCAAGAUAAGAUUUCCCACCGCAAGGGUAAGACCCCAGAAAGACUAUCUGGUUGAUAGGUCGAAGGUGUAAGUGCAGCAAUGUAUUUAGCUUAUCGAUACUAAUAGGUCGAGGACUUGACC